This 62-nucleotide transfer RNA is filed under the name Campodea lubbockii. Its description in RNAcentral is "Campodea lubbocki tRNA-Tyr". Lineage: Eukaryota; Metazoa; Arthropoda; Diplura; Rhabdura; Campodeidae. The record is from RNAcentral.
GAUAUGAUGGCUGAAAUAAGUGUUAGAUUGUAAAUCUAUUUAUGGUUAAUAACCUCAUAUCA